UACGUAGGGGGCAAGCGUUGUCCGGAUUUACUGGGCGUAAAGAGCGUGUAGGCGGCCAAACAGGUCCGUUGUGAAAACUGGAGGCUUAACCUCCAGACGUCGACGGAAACCGUAUGGCUAGAGUCCGGAAGAGGAGAGUGGAAUUCCACGUGUAGCGGUGAAAUGCGUAGAGAUGUGGAGGGACACCAAUGGCGAAGGCAGCCUUCUGGGCCAACACUGACGCUCAUGCACGAAAGCGUGGGGAGCAAACAGG
This 253-nucleotide ribosomal RNA is filed under the name uncultured bacterium. RNAcentral's name for it is "partial 16S ribosomal RNA". It matches the Rfam family "Bacterial small subunit ribosomal RNA", at positions 524 to 776 of the family's 1533-position model. The record is from RNAcentral.